RNAcentral lists this long non-coding RNA (729 nucleotides) under Solanum lycopersicum (tomato). RNAcentral describes it as "long non-coding RNA (SLYC_LNC000824)". Lineage: Eukaryota; Viridiplantae; Streptophyta; Magnoliopsida; Solanales; Solanaceae. The record is from RNAcentral.
UUGAAUCAGUUUUACUAUUGACUUCUGACCAACUUCAAGUUUUUAUAUCAAAAAACACUAACUUGCUGAUAUAUACUACCAGCUUACAUACACCCCACAAAAAUGUGGGAAAGCUUCAAAGCAACUCAUCAAAUAAGUUCAUUUUUAAUAAAAGAGGUGUCUGGACUGGUCUAUGUGCACCUCGACUAUUUGACCAGGUACGUGCUAGAACAUCCCGCUAGCACAUGUAUCAAAUAACUCAUCCCCGCCAAGGCUAAGGCAAAUGGAAAGGACUCACGUGUCGUUAUUUUACUGAGAACUCAUCAAGCAAAUUAAUAGAAAUUCCUACAUUGCAAGAGGUGUUGCACCAAUGGAUAAAAGCAUUUACUUUCUUAAUAUACCAAACAAAACACAGAAACAUCUGCACCAUAAAAACAGAAAAUAAUACAAAAGCAGAACGAAGUUACAGUCAUAUUGUUAGAAGUAUGUAUCCUCAAAAUCAGUCUGAGAAAGGGACAUUACCUUCCGGAAAACAUUAUCCGUAGAAUUUGUUUCUGCAAAUCUUUUGGACUUCACCACCACCUGAGGUUGCUAAAUGGUCUGACAUGCAAGAUAGAACAUGUAAUGAAUCUACUCAAAGAGACAAAUCAGUCUAUCAUAGAAAGAAAAUCUACAGAUAUUAUUAGUCAUUCUAAACUGAUGAAGUUGCACCAUGUUAGUAAAUGAUAGACAUCUACAGAUAAAUACUUC